This is a non-coding RNA of Ictidomys tridecemlineatus (thirteen-lined ground squirrel), 1386 nucleotides long. Lineage: Eukaryota; Metazoa; Chordata; Mammalia; Rodentia; Sciuridae. The record is from RefSeq and is a predicted model, not a curated record.
CUCUCUCUUUAAAAAAAAAAAAAUCCAAGUAAAGAGGACCAUGGAGUGGUAGUUAGACAUUGAUUGAAUUCUGGUUCUUUUAGUGAUAAAACUGGUAAGAUUUACUGAUAGAUCCAGAUAUAGGGUGUAAAAUAAAGGAAAUCAAGGUGACUCCAAAAGUUUCACCUGGACUUAAGCCAGUACCCCCAAACAAUCCAAGGAUGACCACUUUCCUCUUAUUUGAAAUCGCAAGAAAUCCUUGGAAGAGGAUUGAUAUACAAGAGACUUGAUACACACCUGGAAUGGAAACUAGGAAAAAGUGAUGGGAAACUCAGUAGUAAGAAAAUGGCAUACAAAUUCAAAUUAGUAUGGGGUACCACUACACACUUUUCAUAAUAGAUUUUUAAAAAUUACCAAAAACGUCACUGUGUGUGGUGGAUCACACCUGUAAUCCCAGCAACUCCAGAGGCAGUAGGAUCACAAGUUUGGAGCCAGCCUGGGCAACUUAGCAAGAUUCUGUCAAAUUUUUAAAAAAAGUAUAGUUCAGUUGUAAACCAUCCCUGGAUUUGAUCCCCAGUACUGCUAAAUAAAUAAAUUAAAUCAGAAAUGUGAAGUGCUUACAAGGACAUAGAGCAACUGGAGCUAUUAGCUGGCAGAAAUGCAAAAUGGCAAAGGUAAUCAAGAUAUUGUGGUGUUAACUUCAAGAUAGACAAAUAGGUCAAAAAACAAUAGAAAGUCAAGGAAUAGACUCAUACAUAUAUGGUGAAUUGACUUUUUUGGUGGGGGGAUUUACCUGGGAUUGAACUCAGAGCCACUCAACCACUGAGCCACAUCCAUAAUUCUAUUUUGUGUUUUAUUUAGACAGGUUCUCACUGAGGUGUUAUCACAUUGCCAUUGCUGAGGCUGGCUUUGAACUUGUGAUCCUCCUGCUUCAGCCUUCCAAAGAUUUCAGGCAUGUGCCACUGCACCCAGCUAUGAUGAACUGAUUUUUAACCAAGAUACAAAAGCAAAUAGUGCUGGAACAAUUGGAUAGUCACAUUCCCAAGGAAUGGAGCCAGCUCUAUAUGGACUAAGACUUCUGAAACGCUUGGUAGUAGGAGCUGCUGCAACCAGACUGAACCAUGGUCUUAAAGGUGAAAGUCAUGAUUGUGGAGAGGAAAGAUGGAAGGAGCCCACAUCCCUGAUAUCAGGAGGAUGUGGUGCCAACCCACCACUGCCUACCUCUGCACUUAUCUUAACAUCAGAUAAAAAUAAACUUUUGUCUUUUUUAUGUAUUGUUACAUUGUUUUCUCCCAUAUGGACGAACCUAGUCUUAACUGGCACAGAGAGAAAAUUUGAAGUCCAAAGUCAUGAUUUUGUAAAUAAAAGGUUUAUAUAAGAGCAAGUUUUUAAAAAUUUAUAGUGCAU